GCGUCAUUUCUCUCUCCACACCUAGUGGGUAUUGGCACUGUACACAGUGCUCAAAACAAUCAUGCGUAUGUGUUAACCACAAUGUGCGCUUAAAACUUAACUAUUGACCUCGUAUAAGGUAAGAGUACCCACUGAACUUAAGCAUAUCAAUAAGUGGAGGAAAAGAAACCAACAGGGAUUGCCUUAGUAGCGGCGAGUGAAGCGGCAAAAGCUCAAAUUUGAAAUCUGCCUUACGGCCGAGUUGUAAUUUGUAGAUGGUAACUCUGCGACAAGUCUUUGCUCAAGUGUUCUGGAAAGGACCAUCAUGGAGGGUGAUAAUCCCGUGAGGCAUUGAUGCAGUUGCGUGUAGAGUGCUAUCGAAGAGUCGAGUUGUUUGGGAAUGCAGCUCAAAGUGGGUGGUAGACACCAUCUAAAGCUAAAUAUUGGCGAGAGACCGAUAGCGAACAAGUACUGUGAAGGAAAGAUGAAAAGCACUUUGAAAAGAGAGUGAAAAAGUACGUGAAAUUAUUGAUACAGAAGGAUAUACAAUUGGACACGGAGUCUUGGGUUCGCUGCUUCUUCGGGAGUAGUUUGUCCCUUGAUUCUUCACCAGCAUCAGUUUUGGCAGGAGGAUAAACAACAUGGAAUGUAGCUGCUUGCAGUGUUAUAGACUUGUUGCAUACUCUUUGCCGGGACUGAGGUCAGCCUUUGUAGGAUGCUGGGGUAACGAUUGUAUAUCACCCGUCUUGAAACAC
Molecule: ribosomal RNA, 734 nt
Filed under: Wickerhamiella nectarea
Lineage: Eukaryota; Fungi; Ascomycota; Dipodascomycetes; Dipodascales; Trichomonascaceae
Description: LSU rRNA
Rfam family: Eukaryotic large subunit ribosomal RNA (bases 105-734)
Source: RNAcentral